GAUGAACGCUGGCGGCGUGCCUAAUACAUGCAAGUCGAGCGAACAGACGAGGAGCUUGCUCCUCUGACGUUAGCGGCGGACGGGUGAGUAACACGUGGAUAACCUACCUAUAAGACUGGGAUAACUUCGGGAAACCGGAGCUAAUACCGGAUAAUAUAUUGAACCGCAUGGUUCAAUAGUGAAAGACGGUUUUGCUGUCACUUAUAGAUGGAUCCGCGCCGCAUUAGCUAGUUGGUAAGGUAACGGCUUACCAAGGCAACGAUGCGUAGCCGACCUGAGAGGGUGAUCGGUCACACUGGAACUGAGACACGGUCCAGACUCCUACGGGAGGCAGCAGUAGGGAAUCUUCCGCAAUGGGCGAAAGCCUGACGGAGCAACGCCGCGUGAGUGAUGAAGGCCUUCGGAUCGUAAAACUCUGUUAUUAGGGAAGAACAAAUGUGUAAGUAACUAUGCACGUCUUGACGGUACCUAAUCAGAAAGCCACGGCUAACUACGUG
RNAcentral lists this ribosomal RNA (497 nucleotides) under uncultured bacterium. RNAcentral's name for it is "partial 16S ribosomal RNA". It matches the Rfam family "Bacterial small subunit ribosomal RNA", at positions 28 to 507 of the family's 1533-position model. The record is from RNAcentral.